This 728-nucleotide ribosomal RNA is filed under the name uncultured organism. Its description in RNAcentral is "bacterial SSU rRNA". It matches the Rfam family "Bacterial small subunit ribosomal RNA", at positions 55 to 827 of the family's 1533-position model. The record is from RNAcentral.
AUGCAAGUCGAAUGCCGAUUUAUCGGCAUGGCAGACGGCUGAGUAAUACAUGGGAAUCUACCUCAAACUCGAGAAUAGCCCAUCGAAAGGUGGUGUAAUACUCGAUAGUUCCGUUUACGGUAAAGCUCCGGCGGUUUGAGAUGAGCCCAUGUCCUAUCAGGUUGUUGGUAGGGUAAUUGCCUACCAAGCCUAUGACAGGUAGCUGGUUUGAGAGGAUGAUCAGCCAGACUGGGACUGCGAUACGGCCCAGACUCCUACGGGAGGCAGCAACUAGGAAUCAUGCGCAAUGGACGAAAGUCUGACGCUGCGACGUCGCGUGAGGGAUGAAGGUCUUCGGAUCGUAAACCUCUUUUAUCUGGGAACAAGUUCUGAGUGUACCAGAUGAAUAAGUGCCUGCCAACCACGUGCCAGAAGCAUCGGUAAUGCGUGGGGCACGAGCGUUAUCCGGAUUUACUGGGCGUAAAGAGAUGCGUAGGCGCCUUUUUAAGUCACUUGUAAAAUCUCCCCGCUCAACGGGGAAACUGCAAGUGAUACUGAAUUGGUUGAGUCAAGUAGAGGAGAGGGGAAUUCCUGGUGGAGCGGUUAAAUGCGUUGAUAUCAGGAGGAAUACCAAGUGCGAAGGCACCUCUCUGGACUUGUACUGACGCUAAGGCUCGAAAGUGUGGGGAGCAAAACGGAUUAGAUACCCGUGUAGUCCACACUGUAAACGAUCCCUGCUAGAUGUUUGC